CCUACGGGUGGCAGCAGUGGGGAAUAUUGGACAAUGGGGGAAACCCUUAUCCAGCGACGCCGCGUGAGGGAAGAAGGUUUUCGGAUUGUAAACCUCUGUCAGUGGGGACGAUAAUGACGGUACCCACGGAGGAAGCCACGGCUAACUACGUGCCAGCAGCCGCGGUAAUACGUAGGUGGCAAGCGUUGUCCGGAAUUACUGGGUGUAAAGGGAGCGUAGACGGUGAUGUAAGUCUGGAGUGAAAGGCGGGGGCCCAACCCCCGGACUGCUCUGGAAACUAUGUGACUGGAGUGCAGGAGAGGUGAGCGGAAUGCCUAGUGUAGCGGUGAAAUGCGUAGAUAUUAGGAGGAACACCAGUGGCGAAGGCGGCUCACUGGACUGUAACUGACGUUGAGGCUCGAAAGCGUGGGGAGCAAACAGGAUUAGAUACCCCAGUAGUC
RNAcentral lists this ribosomal RNA (440 nucleotides) under uncultured bacterium. RNAcentral describes it as "partial 16S ribosomal RNA". It matches the Rfam family "Bacterial small subunit ribosomal RNA", at positions 338 to 795 of the family's 1533-position model. The record is from RNAcentral.